UUUUUGUGUCUGUGGUUGAAAAAUACUGUGUGAGUCAAGUUGUACGUCGGUGUUUUAUUGCAUUUUUAACAAAAUUUAGCUGUUUUAUGGCACCAAAGAUUUGUUACAAAUAAUGUAAAAUGGCUAUAAACUUGGAAAAACAUAAGAGUUCUUUGAUCGCCGCGUGGAAGGACGUAUUAGACGAGAAAACCGACACCGAUUGGGCGUUAUUUGGCUACGAUGGCAUGACAAAUGAUCUCAAAUUCGUCAGCAAGGGCAACGGUGGCCUUUUGGAACUUAUUGACGACUUCAACAGUGGUAAAAUACAGUAUGCAUUCUUGAAAGUCGACGUCCCCAACGGAAACAUAUCAAAAUAUGUUCUUAUCAACUGGCAGGGCGAAGGCGCGCCGACUGUCCGGAAGGGCACAUGCGCGAACCACGUGAAGCAUGUGAUGCAGUUCUUCAGUGGGUUCCACCUCACCAUGCACGCUCGUACUGAGGACGACCUGGAUGAAAAGUUGAUACUCGACAAGCUGUCUAAGGCUGGGUCUUCUGUGGGGUUCAAGUCCACAAAGUCAGAGGAACUGCCCCCCAGUGGCCCCAUCGGGACGGCCUACCAGAAAGUUAAUCCAGUCCAAGAAAUAAACUCCAAAGAACGGGAUCAGUUCUGGAUGAAGGAAGAACAAGAAGAGAAGAAACGCGUAGAAGCCGAGAGGAAAAGGAGAGAAGAGGAAAAGAGAAAAGCAGAGGAGGAUGUCAGGAGGAGAGAUGAAUUGGAAGCGGAGAGGAGAGCGAAGGCAGAAAGCGUUAAGAGCGAGGCGUCCGCGGCGGGCGUGGUGAGCGCGGGCGAGGCGCAGCGGCGGCAACGCUCGCAGGAGGCGCGCCAGCUCAUCGGCUCCACGGCCGCCGCGCGGGCCAUGUUCGAGCAGCACACUGCGCAGGGGCAGAUGGCGCGGUCAAACUCCAACGUACCAGAGAAGCCAGUCCGCAGUUCAGUGAUAGCGCAGCGCAUCAACGCAUUCAGCCAACAAGCGAACAACACACCACCCCAGACAUCCCCCAUCAAAUCUCCCUUAAAGUCCCCCCUCCAACCCAAAGCCACCCUCGACGACCAACCCCCCGAACAACCAAAGACAAGUCCUUUGAAAAACAUUGACAAGAUCAAAAUGAGUUUGGAGAGUCCUUCGCAGAUACAAUACGAGCCAAUUAUAGACCCCGCAGACUUAAGUCCUAGUACGGAAAACGUACCGGACUCCUUCAGUGCCAUUAGCUACGCGGAACAUAAAGACUCUUACAGAGACAUAGAGAACAUUAACGACUUGAAGCAAAGCGAGCCUAUGAUAAAACAGAACAUUCUAGAAAACGACAUGUUUGAUGCGUCGUAUUCUAGUUCUAACGAGAAUGAUGACGAUGAUAGUGAUAACAAGUUCAGUACGAUAAAGCGAUCUCCUUAUAGUAAGAACAAUAUUGCUGAAGAGACUGGCAGGUCGGCGGAGCUCAGUAGACAGAACACAGUCAUUGAGAACGUCAACUACAAGAAGGACCAGAAUGGAACUGCUACGUUAGACGUUAAUCACUUUGUAAAGUCUUACAAAUGUUUAAAACAAGAGAAAAAUGCAACGACGGAUAAAGCAACGACGGAUAAAGCAACGAAACGCAAAAAAAAAAGUUAUAUCAGCUGACAUAUUUGAAUUCGCGCCGAAAGGACUUGCUUGAACUUCUACUUAGAAGUUGAAGAGUUUUGCUGCUUUAUUAUCUUUUUUUGGAUCUACACGAAAGAAAUGUAAGUACAUUAUUGUUAUCUAAAUAGUGAAUUUAGUGUUCUAGCAGCUUCGUUAUGACAGUGAUAUUUUCAGAUGCCUGCUUCCAAGCAAGUAUCCGACGCCCAAGAACGGGUUCUCCUGCAGCUUAUGGAGGAGAAUCCCGAAAUAGCCACCGGUCGCGUGAACAGCCAAGCUCCGGCCUUGGCUAAGCAGACGGUGGCUGCGUUCUGGGAGUCGUUGGCGUCCCGGCUCAACUCUAUGGGCUCGGGCACCUCCAAACCGCCUUUGAAGUGGCGAGACGAACCCUCCACAUCUCAAGAAAUGCCAGAUGUGAGUGGGCCACUUAUCGCCCCGUCACAACCUUCACCUCCACUGCCUGCUAUCGCGCAGCCACAAUCGCCAUCACCACCACAGGCCACAUCCAGUCAAGCCACACCUGAGCUUUUGACAGCAGAGCAACUACAGACACCACGUGUCCGGCCUCGACUCUCCGACUCAAACCGGCAGAGGAUAGAUCACCGACUUACUACUCAUGCUCCCGCAUGGGCGGUAGAAUUAGAGAAUCGGAGGCUGGCAAUAGAGGAGCGACUUAUUUCAGCAGUCGACAGGCUGGCUGCAGCUGCUGAAGCUAAUAACAGGGCUGCCAAUAUGCAAACGGAGUUGCUUCGGCUGCUGCUAGAGGAAGUUAGGCGGAGAUCAACAUAAGAGCAACUACAGACACCACGUGUCCGGCCUCGAAUCUUCAACUCAAACCGGCAGAAGAUAGAUCACCGACUUACUACUCAUGGGCGGUAGAACUAGUGAACGGAGGCUGGAUCACUCACCCGAGCUUAGGGAAACUCACAAAGAGAAAAUUUAAUCGAAAAAAUCUGACUCGGAUGGGACUUCAACCCGCAGCUCUCGUCAAGCCGGGACGAGUGGUAACCAUUAUAUGCCUGAUGGCGUCGCUGAAUUAUAAGUAGACUUGUAUCAACAAUCUACACAGUAUAAAAGUUUUGGACUUGUAUUACUUUUCACCGACGGUACAGAAAUUUUCUCUUUGUGAGCUUGAACGUAAAUAUUUAAGAGAGAGGGGUGCAAUAAAACAAAUUAUGUAAUACUAUAAAACAAUU
RNA transcript from Pectinophora gossypiella (pink bollworm), 2854 nucleotides. It is a transcript of the gene named drebrin-like protein B, with no coding region annotated. NCBI's taxonomy places the organism in Eukaryota, Metazoa, Arthropoda, Insecta, Lepidoptera, Gelechiidae. The transcript is spliced from 13 exons. The record is from RefSeq and is a predicted model, not a curated record.